GACCUCUAAUCGGAAAA
This 17-nucleotide ribosomal RNA is filed under the name Bryum argenteum. RNAcentral describes it as "partial 26S ribosomal RNA". The record is from RNAcentral. Lineage: Eukaryota; Viridiplantae; Streptophyta; Bryopsida; Bryales; Bryaceae.